GAUGAACGCUAGCGGCGUGCUUAAGGCAUGCAAGUCGAACGAGAAAGUCGUCUUCGGAUGGCGAGUACAGUGGCGCACGGGUGAGUACAACUUAGGUAAUGUACCCUUUCGCUGGGGACAACUUCGGGAAACCGAAGCUAAUACCGAAUACUCCUAAAUUUACCUCGGUUUAUUUAGGGAAAGCUUUCGGGCGCGAAAGGAGCAGCCUGAGUCCCAUUAGCUUGUUGGUAGGGUAACGGCCUACCAAGGCGACGAUGGGUAGCUGGUUUGAGAGAAUGAUCAGCCACACUGGUACUGGAACACGGACCAGACUCCUACGGGAGGCAGCAGCUAGGAAUAUUGCGCAAUGGGGGAAACCCUGACGCAGCAACGUCGCGUGAAUGAGGAAGGCUUUCGGGUCGUAAAGUUCUUUUCUAAGGGAAGAAAAAAAUGACGUUACCUUAGGAAUAAGCACCGGCUAACUCCG
Molecule: ribosomal RNA, 466 nt
Filed under: uncultured Pseudomonadota bacterium
Lineage: Bacteria; Pseudomonadati; Pseudomonadota
Description: bacterial SSU rRNA
Rfam family: Bacterial small subunit ribosomal RNA
Source: RNAcentral